This 54-nucleotide transfer RNA is filed under the name Lepidodactylus lugubris. Its description in RNAcentral is "partial tRNA-Cys". Lineage: Eukaryota; Metazoa; Chordata; Lepidosauria; Squamata; Gekkonidae. The record is from RNAcentral.
CCAAAGUGCAAAUUUGGAGACGCACCUUAGAAGGUGCCGGGGCUUCUCCCGUUU